RNAcentral lists this ribosomal RNA (362 nucleotides) under uncultured bacterium. Its description in RNAcentral is "partial 16S ribosomal RNA". It matches the Rfam family "Bacterial small subunit ribosomal RNA", at positions 338 to 698 of the family's 1533-position model. The record is from RNAcentral.
CCUACGGGGUGCAGCAGUGAGGAAUAUUGGUCAAUGGCCGAGAGGCUGAACCAGCCAAGUCGCGUGAGGGAAGACGGCCCUACGGGUUGUAAACCUCUUUUGUCGGGGAGCAAAGAGAGUCACGUGUGACUCAUUGAGAGUACCCGAAGAAAAAGCAUCGGCUAACUCAGGGCCAGCAGCCGCGGUAAUACGGAGGAUGCGAGCGUUACCCGGAUUUAUUGGGUUUAAAGGGAGCGAGGGCAGAGGUGCAAGUCAGCGGUCAAAUUGCGGGGCUCAACCCCGUACUGCCGUUGAAACUGAAUCCCUUGAGUGCGCGAGAGGUAUGCGGAAUGCGUGGUGUAGCGGUGAAAUGCAUAGAUAUC